AGGUAAUUAGUUUAAGAAAAACAUUUGAUUUCGGCUCAAAAACCUGUGGUUUAAAUCCAUAAUUGCCUA
RNAcentral lists this transfer RNA (69 nucleotides) under Parachanna insignis. Its description in RNAcentral is "tRNA-Arg". It matches the Rfam family "tRNA". From Rfam's summary of the family: Transfer RNA (tRNA) molecules are approximately 80 nucleotides in length. The record is from RNAcentral. Lineage: Eukaryota; Metazoa; Chordata; Actinopteri; Anabantiformes; Channidae.